UAUAGAAGAAAAUUUAAAGUAAUAAGAGGAGAAAGUUUCCUUUUUUUUUUUCACUGUGACCAAAAUACCUGAUAAGAACAACUUACAGAAGAAAGCUUUAUUUGGGAUCAACAUUUCAGAGGUCAGUCUUUGGUGAGUCAGCUCCAUCACUCUGGCUCUAAAGUGAGGCAGUACAUCAUGGUGGAAGGGCAUGGCAGAGUAGAGUUGUUCAGCUGAUGGCAGCCAGAGGAUCAUGGAGGUUUCCACUGAGAUUUCAAAGGAAGACUUGAGUGUUCAGACAAAGUGAAGCUGUGUUGGAAUCCCUUCAGGAUUCCCUUGAGAGGGGACACAUGAAGCUGUGAAGGGGAAGCUGAAGCUGGAAUGGAGAUCUCAGGGAUUAAGAUAUGUCAGUAAUGUGGAAUGUCUGCUGAGGAAAGCUGUUGGCUGUAGAGGGAGUCAGCCUAAGAAAGCGACCAUGUGAAUUACAACCAGCAAGGAAAUUUAGGUGGUGCUGCAGAAGCCCUUUGAAGAUUACAUCUCACCACAAUAUUCCCCAGAUUCUGGACAUGGAGUUACAGAAACUAAUAUCUGCAUGACUGAGUUUCACUUGUUUUGGUUCCAUCCCUUCCUCUAUAUCAUUAUUCCUCCUUUUUGGAAUGGGAACAUUUACUUUAUGUCAUUGUAUAUUGGAAGUAUAUAACUUUUGAUUUUUACAGAGGCUCAAAACACAGUGUUUGUCUUGAGUCACAGAGGAGACUUUGGAUGUGUACUGGAACUUUGAAAAUUAUGGGGACUCUUGGAGAUGGACUAAAUGUAUUUUUCAUUUUUUUUUUGUGAGAUGGAUGUGAUGUUUUGAGGGCCAGGAGUAAAAUGUUAUGGCUUGAUUAUGAGAUGUGCUCCAAAAAGUUUAUGUGGCAAUUCAUAAAUGUUAAAGAGAUAAAACAGUUAUGAGACCCAUAACCUAGCUGGUGGAUUAAUGUAUUUGAUGGAUUAAUAAUUAGAAUGGAUUGCUGGUUGGUAAUUAGGU
This 1006-nucleotide long non-coding RNA is filed under the name Marmota monax (woodchuck). The record is from RNAcentral. Lineage: Eukaryota; Metazoa; Chordata; Mammalia; Rodentia; Sciuridae.